AAUGNGGGGUACUGGCAGGCCUAAACAUGCUAGUCGAGGAGGCAGCACACAGAUAGCUUGCUAUUUUGGUGGCGACCGGCGCACGGGUGCGUAACGCGUAUGCAAUCUACGUUAUACUGGGGUAUAGCCCGAAGAAAUUCGGAUUAAUCCCCCAUAGUACUGAUAUACCUCAUGGUAAUUCAGUUAAAGUUUCGGCGGUAUGAGAUGAGCAUGCGUCCUAUUAGCUUGAUGGUAAGGUAACGGCUUACCAUGGCUACGAUAGGUAGGGGGCCUGAGAGGGUGACCCCCCACACUGGUACUGAGACACGGACCAGACUCCUACGGGAGGCAGCAGUGAGGAAUAUUGGUCAAUGGGCGCAAGCCUGAACCAGCCAUGCCGCGUGCAGGAAGAAUGCCCUAUGGGUUGUAAACUGCUUUUAUUUAGGAAUAAACCUUUCUACGUGUAGAAAGCUGAAGGUAC
Molecule: ribosomal RNA, 460 nt
Filed under: uncultured Bacteroidota bacterium
Lineage: Bacteria; Pseudomonadati; Bacteroidota
Description: bacterial SSU rRNA
Rfam family: Bacterial small subunit ribosomal RNA
Source: RNAcentral